This 439-nucleotide ribosomal RNA is filed under the name uncultured bacterium. RNAcentral describes it as "partial 16S ribosomal RNA". It matches the Rfam family "Bacterial small subunit ribosomal RNA", at positions 339 to 795 of the family's 1533-position model. The record is from RNAcentral.
CUACGGGGUGCUGCAGUGAGGAAUAUUGCACAAUGGAGGAAACUCUGAUGCAGCAACGCCGCGUGGAGGAUGACGCAUUUCGGUGUGUAAACUCCUUUUAUAUGUCAAGAAAAUGACGGUAGCAUAUGAAUAAGCUCCGGCUAACUCCGUGCCAGCAGCCGCGGUAAUACGGAGGGAGCAAGCGUUACUCGGAAUCAUUGGGCGUAAAGGACGCGUAGGCGGGAUAGGAAGUCAGGUGUGAAAUCCUAUGGCUCAACCAUAGAACUGCACUUGAAACUUCUAACCUAGAGUAUGGGAGGGGAAGAUGGAAUUAGUGGUGUAGGGGUAAAAUCCGUAGAUAUCACUAGGAAUACCAAAAGCGAAGGCGAUCUUCUGGAACAAUACUGACGCUAAGGCGUGAAAGCGUGGGGAGCAAACAGGAUUAGAUACCCGAGUAGUC